This 219-nucleotide small nucleolar RNA is filed under the name Pelusios castaneus (West African mud turtle). Its description in RNAcentral is "Small nucleolar RNA U3 (ENSPCEG00000018990.1)". It matches the Rfam family "Small nucleolar RNA U3". From Rfam's summary of the family: Small nucleolar RNAs (snoRNAs) are involved in the processing and modification of rRNA in the nucleolus. There are two main classes of snoRNAs: the box C/D class, and the box H/ACA class. U3 snoRNA is a member of the box C/D class. Lineage: Eukaryota; Metazoa; Chordata; Testudines; Pelomedusidae. The record is from Rfam by way of RNAcentral.
UGGCCGCUCCUUUAGGCAGGGGUCAUUUCUAUAUAGUAGUAACCAGAGAGGGGUAGCCAAAAGUGAUUGGUCUCGCUAACAAGAGGGAGGAAUUAAAGUGUUCCCUUCUGAACAUGAAAUGAGCAGACAGUGUCGCUUCACUGCAGCUGCUAUUAUUCAUGAUUAUUCCUUCUUUCCUUUUGGGAAGCAAGAAAUAGAAAACACAGACUGAGGCCUUGU